UACGAAGGUGGCAAGCGUUAUCCGGAAUUAUUGGGCGUAAAGCGCGCGCAGGUGGUUUCUUAAGUCUGAUGUGAAAGCCCACGGCUCAACCGUGGAGGGUCAUUGGAAACUGGGAGACUUGAGUGCAGGAGAGGAAAGUGGAAUUCCAAGUGUAGCGGUGAAAUGCGUAGAGAUUUGGAGGAACACCAGUGGCGAAGGCGACUUUCUGGCCUGAAACUGACACUGAGGCUCGAAAGCGUGGGGAGCAAACAGG
RNAcentral lists this ribosomal RNA (253 nucleotides) under uncultured bacterium. RNAcentral describes it as "partial 16S ribosomal RNA". It matches the Rfam family "Bacterial small subunit ribosomal RNA", at positions 524 to 776 of the family's 1533-position model. The record is from RNAcentral.